This 353-nucleotide ribosomal RNA is filed under the name Penicillium polonicum. RNAcentral describes it as "eukaryotic LSU rRNA". The stretch from base 1 to 126 matches the Rfam family "5.8S ribosomal RNA", at positions 28 to 154 of the family's 154-position model. Lineage: Eukaryota; Fungi; Ascomycota; Eurotiomycetes; Eurotiales; Aspergillaceae. The record is from RNAcentral.
UUGCAUCGAUGAAGAACGCAGCGAAAUGCGAUACGUAAUGUGAAUUGCAAAUUCAGUGAAUCAUCGAGUCUUUGAACGCACAUUGCGCCCCCUGGUAUUCCGGGGGGCAUGCCUGUCCGAGCGUCAUUGCUGCCCUCAAGCCCGGCUUGUGUGUUGGGCCCCGUCCUCCGAUUCCGGGGGACGGGCCCGAAAGGCAGCGGCGGCACCGCGUCCGGUCCUCGAGCGUAUGGGGCUUUGUCACCCGCUCUGUAGGCCCGGCCGGCGCUUGCCGAUCAACCCAAAUUUUUAUCCAGGUUGACCUCGGAUCAGGUAGGGAUACCCGCUGAACUUAAGCAUAUCAAUAGGCGGAGGAA